RNAcentral lists this ribosomal RNA (420 nucleotides) under uncultured bacterium. RNAcentral describes it as "bacterial SSU rRNA". It matches the Rfam family "Bacterial small subunit ribosomal RNA", at positions 356 to 773 of the family's 1533-position model. The record is from RNAcentral.
AGGGAAUAUUGGACAAUGGGCGAAAGCCUGAUCCAGCCAUCCCGCGUGGUAGAUGAAGGCCCUCUGGGUUGUAAAUACCUUUUAUAAGGGAAGAAACUCUCCGAUUCAUCGGAGCCUGACGGUACCUUAUGAAUAAGCACCGGCUAACUCCGUGCCAGCAGCCGCGGUAAUACGGAGGGUGCAAGCGUUAUCCGGAUUCACUGGGUUUAAAGGGUGCGUAGGCGGGAAAUUAAGUCAGUGGUGAAAGCCCCAGGCUCAACUUGGGAACUGCCAUUGAUACUGAUUUUCUUGAAUGUGUUUGAGGUAGGCGGAAUGUUGCAUGUAGCGGUGAAAUGCUUAGAUAUGUUACAGAACACCAAUUGUGAAGACAGCUUACUAAAACAUGAUUGACGCUGAGGCACGAAAGCGUGGGGAGCAAAC